UUCCAGACUCCUACGGGAGGCAGCAGUGGGGAAUAUUGCACAAUGGGGGAAACCCUGAUGCAGCGACGCCGCGUGGGUGAAGAAGCGCCUCGGCGCGUAAAGCCCUGUCAGCAGGGAAGAAAAUGACGGUACCUGAAGAAGAAGCCCCGGCUAACUACGUGCCAGCAGCCGCGGUAAUACGUAGGGGGCAAGCGUUAUCCGGAUUUACUGGGUGUAAAGGGGGCGCAGACGGCGAUGCAAGCCAGGAGUGAAAGCCCGGGGCCCAACCCCGGGACUGCAUUUGAAACUGUCAGGCUGGAGUGCAGGAGAGGUAAGUGGAAUUCCUAGUGUAGCGGUGAAAUGCGUAGAUAUUAGGAGGAACACCAGUGGCGAAGGCGGCCUGCUGGGCUUUUACUGACGCUGAGGCUCGAAAGUGUGGGGAGCAAACAGGAUUAGAUACCCCCGUAA
RNAcentral lists this ribosomal RNA (447 nucleotides) under uncultured bacterium. RNAcentral describes it as "bacterial SSU rRNA". It matches the Rfam family "Bacterial small subunit ribosomal RNA", at positions 329 to 793 of the family's 1533-position model. The record is from RNAcentral.